AUCCAACUGACGGAUCCUUAAUAGGACGAAACGUGAGUCGUGGAU
This is a non-coding RNA of Schistosoma rodhaini, 45 nucleotides long. Lineage: Eukaryota; Metazoa; Platyhelminthes; Trematoda; Strigeidida; Schistosomatidae. The record is from Rfam.